This is a long non-coding RNA of Cheilinus undulatus (humphead wrasse), 223 nucleotides long. RefSeq lists it as uncharacterized. The transcript has 2 exons. Lineage: Eukaryota; Metazoa; Chordata; Actinopteri; Labriformes; Labridae. The record is from RefSeq and is a predicted model, not a curated record.
CCUGUCUCUGAUCAGUGAUCAAGAUCCCUUUAAGAAGCCUGCAGAGACUCUCCUCUGUGCCAGAGAACUGCCAGCUACUCCUUGUGUGCCUCACUCGUUUGCCUUACCACAGCCCAGCCUUAGCACUCUCACUCCGGAGCCCUCACUAUUUCCCCUCAGUGGACUCCUUCUCUCCCUUCACUGUGGAAAAAGAUUCUGUUCAACAAUAAAUCUGUUAAAACUU